Regulatory RNA element from Eubacterium limosum KIST612, 119 nucleotides. It matches the Rfam family "Ribosomal protein L20 leader". Rfam says of the family: This family is a putative r-protein leader autoregulatory structure found in B. subtilis and other low-GC Gram-positive bacteria. It is located in the 5' untranslated regions of mRNAs encoding initiation factor 3 followed by ribosomal proteins L35 and L20 (infC-rpmI-rplT). The record is from Rfam. Lineage: Bacteria; Bacillati; Bacillota; Clostridia; Eubacteriales; Eubacteriaceae.
CAAACAAAGCAGAGGUGUCCACUUCUCACCUGGUCUUUUAACAAGGCGGGUUCAUAGCAAUUUAAGUAAUUGAUUGUUUAAUGCAGGUGGACUAUGUCUACCUGCAUUUUUGUUUAAUA